This 1214-nucleotide ribosomal RNA is filed under the name Salmonella enterica. Its description in RNAcentral is "partial 23S ribosomal RNA". It matches the Rfam family "Bacterial large subunit ribosomal RNA", at positions 1734 to 2925 of the family's 2925-position model. The record is from RNAcentral. Lineage: Bacteria; Pseudomonadati; Pseudomonadota; Gammaproteobacteria; Enterobacterales; Enterobacteriaceae.
CUUCGGGAGAAGGCACGCUGACACGUAGGUGAAGUGAUUUACUCAUGGAGCUGAAGUCAGUCGAAGAUACCAGCUGGCUGCAACUGUUUAUUAAAAACACAGCACUGUGCAAACACGAAAGUGGACGUAUACGGUGUGACGCCUGCCCGGUGCCGGAAGGUUAAUUGAUGGGGUCAGCGCAAGCGAAGCUCCUGAUCGAAGCCCCGGUAAACGGCGGCCGUAACUAUAACGGUCCUAAGGUAGCGAAAUUCCUUGUCGGGUAAGUUCCGACCUGCACGAAUGGCGUAAUGAUGGCCAGGCUGUCUCCACCCGAGACUCAGUGAAAUUGAACUCGCUGUGAAGAUGCAGUGUACCCGCGGCAAGACGGAAAGACCCCGUGAACCUUUACUAUAGCUUGACACUGAACAUUGAGCCUUGAUGUGUAGGAUAGGUGGGAGGCUUUGAAGUGUGGACGCCAGUCUGCAUGGAGCCGACCUUGAAAUACCACCCUUUAAUGUUUGAUGUUCUAACGUGGACCCGUGAUCCGGGUUGCGGACAGUGUCUGGUGGGUAGUUUGACUGGGGCGGUCUCCUCCUAAAGAGUAACGGAGGAGCACGAAGGUUGGCUAAUCCUGGUCGGACAUCAGGAGGUUAGUGCAAUGGCAUAAGCCAGCUUGACUGCGAGCGUGACGGCGCGAGCAGGUGCGAAAGCAGGUCAUAGUGAUCCGGUGGUUCUGAAUGGAAGGGCCAUCGCUCAACGGAUAAAAGGUACUCCGGGGAUAACAGGCUGAUACCGCCCAAGAGUUCAUAUCGACGGCGGUGUUUGGCACCUCGAUGUCGGCUCAUCACAUCCUGGGGCUGAAGUAGGUCCCAAGGGUAUGGCUGUUCGCCAUUUAAAGUGGUACGCGAGCUGGGUUUAGAACGUCGUGAGACAGUUCGGUCCCUAUCUGCCGUGGGCGCUGGAGAACUGAGGGGGGCUGCUCCUAGUACGAGAGGACCGGAGUGGACGCAUCACUGGUGUUCGGGUUGUCAUGCCAAUGGCACUGCCCGGUAGCUAAAUGCGGAAGAGAUAAGUGCUGAAAGCAUCUAAGCACGAAACUUGCCCCGAGAUGAGUUCUCCCUGAGACUUUAGGUCUCCUGAAGGAACGUUGAAGACGACGACGUUGAUAGGCCGGGUGUGUAAGCGCAGCGAUGCGUUGAGCUAACCGGUACUAAUGAACCGUGAGGCUUAACCUU